UACAGAGGUCUCAAGCGUUGUUCGGAUUCAUUGGGCGUAAAGGGUGUGUAGGUGGCGCCGUAAGUCGGGUGUGAAAUUUCGGAGCUUAACUCCGAAACUGCAUUCGAUACUGCGGUGCUUGAGGACUGGAGAGGAGACUGGAAUUCAUGGUGUAGCAGUGAAAUGCGUAGAGAUCAUGAGGAAGACCAGUGGCGAAGGCGGGUCCCUGGACAGUUCCUGACACUGAGACACGAAGGCCAGGGGAGCAAACGGG
Molecule: ribosomal RNA, 253 nt
Filed under: uncultured bacterium
Lineage: Bacteria
Description: partial 16S ribosomal RNA
Rfam family: Bacterial small subunit ribosomal RNA
Source: RNAcentral